RNAcentral lists this ribosomal RNA (486 nucleotides) under uncultured bacterium. RNAcentral describes it as "partial 16S ribosomal RNA". It matches the Rfam family "Bacterial small subunit ribosomal RNA", at positions 30 to 507 of the family's 1533-position model. The record is from RNAcentral.
AUUGAACGCUGGCGGCAUGCCUUACACAUGCAAGUCGAACGGCAGCACGGGUGCUUGCACCUGGUGGCGAGUGGCGAACGGGUGAGUAAUACAUCGGAACAUGUCCUGUAGUGGGGGAUAGCCCGGCGAAAGCCGGAUUAAUACCGCAUACGAUCUACGGAUGAAAGCGGGGGACCUUCGGGCCUCGCGCUAUAGGGUUGGCCGAUGGCUGAUUAGCUAGUUGGUGGGGUAAAGGCCUACCAAGGCGACGAUCAGUAGCUGGUCUGAGAGGACGACCAGCCACACUGGGACUGAGACACGGCCCAGACUCCUACGGGAGGCAGCAGUGGGGAAUUUUGGACAAUGGGCGAAAGCCUGAUCCAGCAAUGCCGCGUGUGUGAAGAAGGCCUUCGGGUUGUAAAGCACUUUUGUCCGGAAAGAAAUCCUUGGCUCUAAUACAGUCGGGGGAUGCCGGUACCGGAAGAAUAAGCACCGGCUAACUACGUG